Molecule: long non-coding RNA, 1242 nt
Organism: Maylandia zebra (zebra mbuna)
Lineage: Eukaryota; Metazoa; Chordata; Actinopteri; Cichliformes; Cichlidae
Source: RefSeq, a predicted model, not a curated record
UGCUACCAUAGAAGAAGAAUGUAGACCGAUGUCCGCUGAUCGUUUCCGUGUAAAUCUUAGCAUUGCUUUAGCCGUCAAGCUAAAGGUUUAGCUUCAUACUGCCAUAUUUUCAGAGGAACAAAAUAUUUAAACGGUCUCAGAUCAUGGACAGUGAAGUGUCUGACACUGACCAUGUAGCAGUGCCUGAGAACACUGGUAUGGAGGGGGAGAACGCACCUCUUUACUGUAUUUGUCGGAAACCAGACAUCAACUGCUCCAUGAUGCUUUGCCAUGAUAAAUUGGUCAGUUGACAACUAGGAGCCGUACACCUUAACCUCAGAGGCCAGGACAUCCAGGGGCAGUGCGAACACGAACUUCUUUAAAUGGGAUGCAAGAUGGACUACAGAGGGCCACCCCGUCGCCAGACAACCAAGUGCUGUCCCUGUCCACGGCCAGUGUGAGAAGGACUCUCACUAAAGUCAACCCACACAAAGCUGCUGGACCAGACAAUAUACCUGGACGCGUGCUCUGAGCCCGUGCUGACCAGCUGACUGAUGUCCUAGCGGGCAUCUUUAACAUCUCCCUGAGUCAAGCUGUUGUGCCACAGUGCUUUAAAACCACCACCAUCAUCAUACCUGUCCCCAGACCUUCCCAAAGCCUAAUUACACAAUGAUUGCCUGAGCCUAUUCUUGUUAAAUGAUGAAAAACUCAAAGGCACGUUUGGGCAGUGGAUCUGUGUGAAAUCAGCAGCUUGCAAAACUAAAUCAAAAUGUGUGCAAUUGAUUCUAAAAAUAGAAAUCACAAUAAAGUUAAACAUUUACUAAAACCGCCAUUCAGUCAUCUGAGAAUCUUUACUCAUGAAAUUAUAACGGUUAGAUGAAUGUAUAUGCAGUGAUUUACUGAUCAAUGAUAAAAGGGGAGAUUUAUGCAGUAACGAAGACUGUCAUGAAAAGUAUUUGGCAUCUGAUCUCCUGUAACCUGCGGAGCUAAGCUGUUUUACCAGCUCUGCUCUCUGAUUUUUCUUUUAUGAAAAAACACAAGUUGUCAAAGUUAUUUGUUUGCAAAUGUAUUUCAGAAAUAUCGACAUACUUUUUUUAAUCAGCAGAAACUUUAUGUCAGUAGUGCAAAAACCUGCACUGAUCUGACCUCAUUUCUUCCUCAUCCUGAUUCCUGACCUGGGAAGGGAGAGAAAUAUUUGUUUUUGUUUGUCUUCUUGUUUUAUUUAAUUCCUUGUGGGAUUUGGAUCCAACACGUAAAGUAUGC